RNAcentral lists this long non-coding RNA (355 nucleotides) under Musa acuminata (dwarf banana). Its description in RNAcentral is "long non-coding RNA (MACU_LNC001054)". Lineage: Eukaryota; Viridiplantae; Streptophyta; Magnoliopsida; Zingiberales; Musaceae. The record is from RNAcentral.
AAGAGUCGAAAGAGGAGGGUCUCCGACCUGCAGGUCUUCUUUCGAAGGGAACCCCAAAGUGAGAAUCGAAGGCUUUGCUUGCGGCAACUCCAAGCAGCAUUGUGUUGCCCCUGCUCUAGCAUGACCUCCUCACAGAAUUAACCCUCACCUUACUGCCUAUGCUCUUGUAAAUUCGCCUUCUGGUUAUUUGUCCAUCAGACCCUCACCAAUCUUUGCCCAGUAAUCCUAGCUGUUGAAUCUGCCGAAAUGCCAGUCUCAAGGAGAAUUUGGUCCUGUAAAUACCUGAGGUAUUGACGGUUAAGAGUUCCUAUAGCAUCCAAGGUAUGUCUAAGCUGCAAACUGGCGUCAGUUGGUA